AUUGAACGCUGGCGGCAGGCCUAACACAUGCAAGUCGAGCGAGCGGCGGACGGGUGAGUAAUGUAUGGGGAUCUGCCUGAUGGAGGGGGAUAACUACUGGAAACGGUAGCUAAUACCGCAUACCAUCAGAUGAACCCAUAUGGGAUUAGCUAGUAGGUGAGGUAACGGCUCACCUAGGCGACGAUCCCUAGCUGGUCUGCGAGGCUGAUCAGCAACACGGGGACUGAGACACGGCCCAGACUCCUACGGUAGGCAGCAGUAGGGAAGCUGCGGCAAUGGACGAAAGUCUGAUCCAGCCAUGCGGCGUGUGUGAAGAAGGUCUGCGGAUUGUAAAGCACUUUAAGUUGGGAGGCGUGACCAACAGAGUAAGCACCGGCUAACUUCGUGCCAGCAGCCGCGGUAAUUC
Molecule: ribosomal RNA, 406 nt
Filed under: uncultured bacterium
Lineage: Bacteria
Description: partial 16S ribosomal RNA
Rfam family: Bacterial small subunit ribosomal RNA
Source: RNAcentral